AUGUCCCGGCCGCUCAAGACCUCCGCGUGCUGCAAGCACUACGCCGCCUAUGACGUGGACGACUGGUACGGCCACACGCGCUUCAAGUUCGACGCCCGCGUCGAGGAGCGCGACAUGGUCGAGACCUUCCAGCGCCCAUUCGAGAUGUGUGUCCGCCACGGCGACGUCAGCAGCGUCAUGUGCUCCUACAACCGCGUCAACGGCAUCCCGGCCUGCGCCGACGCGCGCCUCCUCUCCGGCACCAUCCGCCGCGACUGGGGCCUCCACGGCUACAUCGUCUCCGACUGCGACGCCGUGCGCGUCAUGACCGACAACGCCACAUGGCUGGGCUACACCGCGGUCGAGUCCACCGCCGCCGUGCUCAAGGCCGGGCUCGACCUCGACUGCGGCGAGAGCUGGAUCGUGCAGGACGGCAAGCCCGUCAUGGAUUUCCUCACCACCUACGGCCUGGAGGCCGUCCAGAAGGGCAAGACGCGCGAGUCCGACGUCGACAACGCGCUCACCAACCUCUACAUGACGCUCAUGAGGCUCGGCUACUUCGACGGCAUGCCCAGGUACGAGUCCCUCAACGAGAAGGACAUCUGCAGCGACGACCACAGGAGCCUCGCCCUCGACGGGGCCAGACAGGGCAUGGUGCUCCUCAAGAACCACGGCGGCCUGCUGCCCCUUGACCCCAACAAGUACGGCGCCGUCGCCGUCCGCGGCCCACAUGCUGAGGCGCCUGAAAAGAUCAUGGACGGAGACUACACAGGUGAUCAGCUCUUCUCUAGCUGCUGCUGUACUACGUACACCUCACAUGUCACGACACAUGACGUACUCACAUGUUACACAUUCUCUUGGAUGAAAUUUGUAAAUGCAGGGCCGCCUUGCCGGUACGUGACGCCGCGAGAAGGCAUAAGCAAGGACGUGAACAUCUCGCACCACGCAAACUUGACAAUCUACUUUGGUGGCAUAAACAUGCACAUCGAGAGGGAGGGCAACGACAGGGAGGAUCUCCUCCUGCCCAAGAACCAGACGGAGGAGAUCCUCCACAUCGCGGCGGCAUCGCCUAACCCGAUCGUCCUCGUGAUCCUGUCCGGCGGCGGCAUCGACAUCUCCUUCGCGCAGGGCAACCCCAAGAUCGGCGCCAUCCUCUGGGCCGGGUACCCUGGCGGAGAAGGUGGCAACGCCAUUGCUGAUGUCAUCUUCGGAAGAUACAGUCCAGGAGGACGGCUGCCACUGACAUGGUUCAAGAACAAGUACAUCCACCAGAUUCCUAUGACGUCCAUGGAGCUACGACCGCGGCCGGACCACGGGUACCCUGGGAGGACAUACAAGUUUUACGACGGGCCGGAGAUGCUUUAUCGGUUCGGCCACGGCCUGAGCUACACCAAGUUCCGAUACGAGACCAGCGCUGGCAACGGCACCGCAGUCACCCUCGCCGCCGGCGGGCACUGCAAGCGGCUCAGCUACAAGGCCGGCGCCGUGGACGCUGCCCCGUCCUGCCCCGCCAUCGACGUCGCGAGCCACUCCUGCAAGGAGACCGUGGACUUCAACGUCAGCGUCGUCAAUGGCGGUGACGUGGACGGCAGCCACACCGUGCUGGUGUACACUGUGCCGCCGCCCGAGGUGGCCGGCGCGCCCAUCAAGCAGGUGGUGGCGUUCCAGAGGGUGUUUGUGAAGGCGGGCGGCGCAGCGACCGUGGGGUUCUCGCUCAAGGUGUGCGAGGUGUUUGGCAUCGUGGAGAAGACGGCGUACACCGUCGUGCCGUCAGGGGUCAGCACCGUCCUCCUUGAGAACGGUGACACGUCGUCGCCGUCGUCGGUCUCUUUCCCCGUCAAGAUCAACUUCUCUACUUAG
Molecule: ribosomal RNA, 1839 nt
Filed under: Triticum aestivum (bread wheat)
Lineage: Eukaryota; Viridiplantae; Streptophyta; Magnoliopsida; Poales; Poaceae
Description: partial small subunit ribosomal RNA
Source: RNAcentral